RNAcentral lists this ribosomal RNA (116 nucleotides) under Clostridium sulfidigenes. The record is from RNAcentral. Lineage: Bacteria; Bacillati; Bacillota; Clostridia; Eubacteriales; Clostridiaceae.
UCUGGUAAUUAUGCUUUUGAUGGAUACACCCGUUCCCAUACCGAACACGAAGGUUAAGCAUCAAGAGGCCGAUAGUACUGCACGGGAAGCUGUGUGGAGGUAGGUUGUUGCCAGGU